This is a transfer RNA of Nadsonia fulvescens var. elongata DSM 6958, 88 nucleotides long. It matches the Rfam family "tRNA". From Rfam's summary of the family: Transfer RNA (tRNA) molecules are approximately 80 nucleotides in length. Their secondary structure includes four short double-helical elements and three loops (D, anti-codon, and T loops). The record is from Rfam. Lineage: Eukaryota; Fungi; Ascomycota; Dipodascomycetes; Dipodascales.
GGCCCGAUGGUUUAGUGGUAUAAUUCUCGCUUAGGGUUUAAAAAACUUUGUCUGCGAGAGGUCCCGGGUUCAAUUCCCGGUUGGGCCC